AUGUGCCUGUAGUCCAACACACUGGGAGGCUGAAGUAGGAGACUCACUUCAGCCCAGGAGUUCGAGGCCAGCCUGGGCAACAUAGUGAGACCCUGACUUUAAGAAAAAAGAAAAAAAGGAGAUGGAGGAAGAAAGAGUUUUCUGGGCUAAGACAAAUGUUAGUCAUGUGUAUCUGUGAUGAACUGUAAUGACUGGUCUACUUGUUCUGGAUGUCAUUUUUUUGGUGAUUAUUGUUUGGGGGAGAAAGAGAUAGUGGGUGGCAUGAGGAUUCAAUGUAGAUAGAUCAAUGUUUAAUGGGACUGAGGACACAGAGGGGACACAGAGGCGUGGAAGACGGGGUCCCUCGAGCUGCUCCUUGACACACAGACACAGCCUGGGGGACUUAGUUGCUGCCAAGCCAACUCUUUUGGUGUGAAGUGAGGGGGCAGGAGUGGGGAUGGACGGCCACUGAGGACCCACCACCCCAGGACGGCCAGGCACCUCUGGCAGGUGGGUCCAUGGUUACUGAUUGUCAUGGUCAAGCUCAGCUGGGCACUGGGUUCAACAGGAGAUGUGACUGGCCCAUUUUGCUUCUUUUAUCUGAGUCUGCACCUUUCCUAACUCAGAUUUUUAAAAUACUUUUUUCUUCAUACUUACUUUGUUUUUCUCUGUACUAAUACACUAACUCGGAUUUUUGGCUUUCAUUGGGCCAAGGUCCCACCAAUCUGGGUGCUCAGCCUCGUUUGGUAAAGCAAGAAAAGUAUCUGAGAAAUGUUCCCUAAAGGCUGAUUUCACCCCAAACAGUCACUCAGUGAGGCACCUCACUUACCAGGGACACACCCCCAAAAGGCCAUCUGCUGGCCUCUGGGUCUCACUCUGUUCCCGCAGGGUGUGGUGGAGCAGGUGUGGUUGGAUGACCACCAAGCUGGAUUUCAGUCUCUUUCCAGGCCCGGGGAACAAUCUGAAUUCCAGAGACUUGGCUUUUAGCCUCCUGUUAGAGUCAAGAAAGACUUCUAAGUCUUCAACGGCUUCUGAGGCUUUUUAUAUCAGCAAAGUCCUGCACAGCCUGCAAAUGAAGGCUGCCUUGACGCUCUUCAUUCUAAGGACAGAGAAGGCAAAUUCUGUGGCUACUUUCUGCAGAGCAGCAACUGGGCUCCUUCUUUUUACUUCCGUGGGGAGGACAAGACAUUCAUUUGCUUUCUGUUGCUGAGAAUGCCAUCAAAACAAAUUUUACUUUUAGCGCAACCUUUCAAAAGCAUCUUAAGAAUAAAGCACCAAAAAAUCCCCAAGCUAAUGUAGGCAUUCUAGUGUUUUCGUGAUUGGCGUUUUUUUUCUAAUUGUGCCAGUUUCAGCUGAAACAUGGUUCCAUUGUUUCCAUUUCCCACUGUACAUACAGCACUGGAUUCUUGGGGAGCAAAAGUACGAGGGCAGAUUGGGAAACCCCAGUUCAUCAGAAGUUUGUUGUUGUGGUGGUGGUUGUUUUAAUAAAGAGAGGAAAUUGGUAAAUAGCUCUGAUGUCGAGGCAGCAGGAGGUUAGGACAUUGAGCAACUUGCAACUGGGGUUGUGGACUCAGGGCUGAGCGGCAGGGUGGGCUCCUCCCAGUGCAAGCCUUCAGGAAUGCCAGCCUUGAGUUGGAUGGUUCUGGCUCAUUGUGUGGAGUUGUUUCACUCCUAAGUCGUCACACAGUUGCUUUAAAGAAGGGUGAUGGCUCCUUAGGUAGAUUUGGGUAGGAUGCAGCUUGAAGUGGGACAUCAAAUUCUUUCAUUGUCCGAUGGGGAGGUUACCGUGCAGCAGCUACUCCUUGUACUUGGAAUGAGGGAAACAGCAUCAACUAGACUUGAACACGGGCUCAGGAACCAGGAGCGCCAGCCGCAGAUCUCGCUCACUCUCACUGUUGUUUGCAACUUUGGGCAAGAUGGGGAAACCGAAACGGAGAGUGACUGAGUGACUUGCCCAAGGUCACACACCUCAGGAGUAGGUAUGUAAGUUGAAUCAGAAUUCAAACUGAGAAAGUUCUGCUCCAGAGGCCACCACCCUUAGCCAUUUUCAUAUACAUCCUCUCAUAAGGAGAGAGGCAGACUCAAGAAGAUGUGUAGAAUCAUAGAAAGGCUUCAGAAAGUCUAUAAAGAGUGGUUCAGGCAUUGGAGUCAAGCAGAUCCAAGUUCAAUUCCAGGCUUUAAUCCUUAUUAGCUGUGAGGCCUUGGGCUCCUUACUUUAACCUAAAGCCUAAUUGUCCCCACCAGUCAAGCCAGGCUGUGUUGGAAUCUGAGAACUAGCCCCGGGGGCACGAGGUAGAUUGAGUCAUCACAGCUGUGUCUGAUCUCAGCCUCUGCCUUCCUAGAUAAUAAAAGUGAGGCUCAGAGAGAGAAAGUGGGCUGCCCAGGGCCACACAGCAAACUAGUGACAGUCCUCAGCACACCUGGCCCACUGUCCUGUGCAUAGCAUCAGCAGCUCUAAGCCAACUCAUCUAGUCCACUCUGCCCCCUACAACUUCUUGCCCAUUUCAGGGCUCCAGAUAGGCUUCUGCCCACCUGCAGGGCCACACUGCCAUACUCGGUAGUCUGUGCCAAAGUGGGUAAAGCAGGAACAACUGGAGAAGACACAGAACAAAACAAGUGGGAAAAAAAUGUUCAAGGUCCAGGUAUAGGCUAGGUGUGGCGGCUCA
Molecule: RNA transcript, 2645 nt
Organism: Piliocolobus tephrosceles (Ugandan red Colobus)
Lineage: Eukaryota; Metazoa; Chordata; Mammalia; Primates; Cercopithecidae
Exons: 2
Source: RefSeq, a predicted model, not a curated record